Pezoporus occidentalis (night parrot) is the source of this 704-nucleotide long non-coding RNA. RefSeq lists it as uncharacterized. NCBI's taxonomy places the organism in Eukaryota, Metazoa, Chordata, Aves, Psittaciformes, Psittacidae. The record is from RefSeq and is a predicted model, not a curated record. The transcript is spliced from 2 exons.
CUUCCAGGUCAGAUUCUUCACCUUUACUUCCAGCGAGGUGUAUGUCCCAUGGACCUCAUGGAGCUACUCCUGUAGAAAAUACUGUUCCACAAAACAGAGCUCAGAUGGGCAUGAUUUAGCCUCCACCAUCCAGUGGCUUUAAUUAUGGAGAGAAACUUCAGCAAACUCUGAAUGGAAAUGUUCUGGCUGUUGUCAGUCAAAAUGAAGAAAAGGUUGGAGCAUAAUUAAGCUAAACAUUGCAUUAAACGUCUCAUGUUUGGUGACCAGCUCUUGCACACUGGUAACACCUUGCUCCACAAAUGGCCACAUUGAAUUCAGUGGAGUGACAGCUUGUAGUCAGAUAACACUUGGUAACUGAUGGGAUCCCUACUGGAUUUGUGAAUUUGUCAGACUGAAAUGUAGUCCAUUCACUACUCAAGUCAGCUUCUUCCAGUCUGGAAAGCACAUAACUCAGCAAGAAAACUGUUUAGAGCAGGGGGUGAUGAACACCGCGCUAUGGAAACUGUGAAGGGGAAUUGGGGCAGGUGCAGUGCAGUGAGCUAACUAGACAUUUGGUAGGAAUGUGGCAGUUUUUACAAGCCAGUUUCUGAAAAACACAAUGUGGCAUCUCUAGUGUGUUAGAUAAUUUCAGGUGAGGGUUUCUUCUGAAAGCAGAGCCUCUGGUUUAAGCACCUGUCAGAUCUGUGGGCUGUGAGGCAGCAGGA